RNAcentral lists this ribosomal RNA (253 nucleotides) under uncultured bacterium. Its description in RNAcentral is "partial 16S ribosomal RNA". It matches the Rfam family "Bacterial small subunit ribosomal RNA", at positions 524 to 776 of the family's 1533-position model. The record is from RNAcentral.
UACAGAGGGUGCGAGCGUUAAUCGGAAUUACUGGGCGUAAAGCGCGCGUAGGCGGCUUUGCAAGUCGGGUGUGAAAUCCCCAGGCUUAACCUGGGAACUGCAUUCGAGACUGCAUUGCUAGAGUAUGGGAGAGGGAAGUGGAAUUUCCGGUGUAGCGGUGAAAUGCGUAGAUAUCGGAAGGAACACCAAUUGCGAAGGCAGCUCGCUGGGACGUUACUGACGCUGAGACGCGAAAGCGUGGGGAGCAAACAGG